This 20-nucleotide transfer RNA is filed under the name Tenodera aridifolia. RNAcentral describes it as "partial tRNA-Lys". The record is from RNAcentral. RNAcentral also lists the same sequence under 3 other names. Lineage: Eukaryota; Metazoa; Arthropoda; Insecta; Mantodea; Mantidae.
CAUCAGAUGACUGAAAGCAA